GGGGGCGUACUGGCUUCGACGUGUUGGCAAGGGUGUACGGAGCAUGCCGAGCGUUGUAUGUGUGCUCGUAAAACAAGCAUUCAUUUUUGAACUGGCAAUCAGUCUCAACCUGUGGGGGUUGCUCUCGCGUAAAAGCGUAAGCUAACCUUUGCAGUAGACCCGCAUUAUUCGGGUUUACGCGUAAACAGAGGUGCAUCUAUCCGCACUGUUUACGUGUAACUUUUAGAUAGGUCGCACCAGGCAAGGUUUUUUAGCUGCGUAACCUGGUUGUGUAUACGAAGCUGACGUGCAGUAUAUACUCUGUGUCUUUACAGAGGUAUUGCACGUAUUAAUUAAAGACUAAGCAUGUAGGGCUGUGUAUCUAAGUUAGUGCGGACAUGGGUUCGAUUCCCAUCGCCUCCACCA
RNAcentral lists this transfer-messenger RNA (405 nucleotides) under bacterium. It matches the Rfam family "transfer-messenger RNA". From Rfam's summary of the family: Bacterial tmRNA, also known as 10Sa RNA or SsrA, is named for its dual tRNA and mRNA-like properties. RNAcentral also lists the same sequence under 2 other names. The record is from RNAcentral.